UACGGAGGGUGCAAGCGUUGUCCGGAAUCACUGGGCGUAAAGGGCGCGUAGGCGGCCUGGUAAGUAGGGGGUGAAAUCCUGCGGCUUAACCGCAGGGCUGCCUUCUAAACUGUCAGGCUUGAGCACGGUAGAGGCAGAUGGAAUUCCCGGUGUAGCGGUGGAAUGCGUAGAGAUCGGGAAGAACAUCAGUGGCGAAGGCGGUCUGCUGGGCCGACACUGACACUGAGAGACGAAAGCUAGGGGAGCGAAUGGG
RNAcentral lists this ribosomal RNA (253 nucleotides) under uncultured bacterium. RNAcentral's name for it is "partial 16S ribosomal RNA". It matches the Rfam family "Bacterial small subunit ribosomal RNA", at positions 524 to 776 of the family's 1533-position model. The record is from RNAcentral.